RNAcentral lists this ribosomal RNA (479 nucleotides) under uncultured ammonia-oxidizing bacterium. RNAcentral's name for it is "bacterial SSU rRNA". It matches the Rfam family "Bacterial small subunit ribosomal RNA", at positions 162 to 636 of the family's 1533-position model. The record is from RNAcentral.
GCUAAUACCGCAUACACUCUGAGGAGGAAAGUAGGGGAUCGAAAGACCUUAUGCUUUUGGAGCGGCCGAUGUCUGAUUAGCUAGUUGGUAAGGUAAUGGCUUACCAAGGCAACGAUCAGUAGUUGGUCUGAGAGGACGACCAGCCACACUGGGACUGAGACACGGCCCAGACUCCUACGGGAGGCAGCAGUGGGGAAUUUUGGACAAUGGGCGCAAGCCUGAUCCAGCAAUGCCGCGUGAGUGAAGAAGGCCUUCGGGUUGUAAAGCUCUUUCAGUUGAGAAGAAAAGAUUGUGACUAAUAAUUGCAAUUCAUGACGGUAUCAACAGAAGAAGCACCGGCUAACUACGUGCCAGCAGCCGCGGUAAUACGUAGGGUGCGAGCGUUAAUCGGAAUUACUGGGCGUAAAGGGUGCGCAGGCGGUUCUGUAAGUCAGAUGUGAAAUCCCCGGGCUUAACCUGGGAACUGCGUUUGAAACUAC